CGUCUUUGAGGUUGUAGACCAGAGAGGGGGAAAGCGACAACCAUGACCGGCUGUCUCGCCGGCAUCGGUGGAGAGGAUAAGGGGAUUCGGCUAGUAGCGAGUCCGGUGAGAUCCGACCAAAAUUAACCCGAAAAUGGGCUGCCGGGUCACCGGAAAAAGGAGAAAAUAGGACGCAGUGAGAGUAGGGGAUUUUUGCCGGCGGUGGUUGUUAGUUCGCCAUAGCAGGUCGUUUCCCAUGGAUUUUCGUGAUAGGGGGUCGGAUCCGGUGUGGUUUUUCCGGUUUCCCGGUGAUUUGGUGAUGGCCGGAAUGGCACGUGUGCCCGGUUAGCCGGAUUUUGGAUUAUUUUGAUGUGUUGGCACUGAUUUGACCGGAGUUCAAAGUGGGUAACAUUUCCCAGCGAGGAAGUGCCAUUUCCGGUGAAAAUAUCGCCGGAACAAUGGGAUUUGCGAUUUGCCUUUCUCCCUUUUUCUGUCUAUUUUUUUUGCCAGCCUCGCGAUGAGUGUGCGCGUGUGUGAUGUUCUUUGCGUCUAUGUAUUUUUUUAAAUCGGGCAUGCUCAGCCUGUGUAUGUAAAUUGAUGGAGAAGAUGAAGGGGUUGAUAUAGUGUUGUUGUGCAAAAUAGUGUAUGUUGCAGUAUGUGUGUGCAGUGUAUGUUUCCGGUGAAUAUAAAUAUGCAGAUAACAGUGUGAAAUUGUAACAUGCCCAUUUUUUUCUCUCUAUUCCGAUUUUAACUUAGGAGUAUAUGCAUAAACACUUAGUAAUUUAAUAUACAACACAUAAUAAUAUUUACAUUCACCUAAUACACCAAUAACACAUUAUGAAUAAUAUAUGAAAAUUACUUAAGCAAUUUUAUUCAUAUUUUUUAUUUGUAAUAGUGUUUAUGCAAUAAAUUACGUAGAAUCAAAAUGAAACAUGUGUUAAGUUGAACAAGUUGAACAGAAAUACGAAGUUGUCACCGAAAUUUUCAAGUAAAAUAUUGAAAUUUUGAAUUUUCACUCUUUCUUUGAUUUUUGCUUGCUGAUUUUUCACUCUCUUUGUUAGAUAUACUCAGUGUAGAAUAUUAUGUUCUCACAGGUGACAAAAGAGUUUUAAAAUGAGGUGUAGGUGACAUAAGUUUUAAUUAUUAGUUGGAGGUGACAAUUACUUUAUUAUCUAUUAAGAAAGUUGGGAAAGUUUUAAAAUAAUCCACAAGUUUUUAAAUUUAUACUUUGAUCCUAAUGUAUACCUAAAAUAACGGGAAACAGAGGGAAAAAAAAGGCAUCUUUCUCUUCUCAUCCAUUGUUGUUUUCU
Molecule: long non-coding RNA, 1289 nt
Filed under: Capsicum annuum
Lineage: Eukaryota; Viridiplantae; Streptophyta; Magnoliopsida; Solanales; Solanaceae
Description: long non-coding RNA (CANN_LNC013626)
Source: RNAcentral